AGAGCGGCGUACGGGUGCGUAACACGUGUGCAACCUACCUUUAUCAGGGGAAUAGCCUUUCGAAAGGAAGAUUAAUACUCCAUAAUAUAUUGAAUGGCAUCAUUCGAUAUUGAAAACUCCGGUGGAUAAAGAUGGGCACGCGCAAGAUUAGAUAGUUGGUGAGGUAACGGCUCACCAAGUCAAUGAUCUUUAGGGGUCCUGAGAGGGAGAUCCCCCACACUGGUACUGAGACACGGACCAGACUCCUACGGGAGGCAGCAGUGAGGAAUAUUGGACAAUGGGUGAAAGCCUGAUCCAGCCAUCCCGCGUGAAGGAUGACGGUCCUAUGGAUUGUAAACUUCUUUUGUAUAGGGAUAAACCUAGAUACGUGUAUCUAGCUGAAGGUACUAUACGAAUAAGCACCGGCUAACUCCGUGCCAGCAGCCGCGGUAAUACGGAGGGUGCAAGCGUUAUCCGGAUUUAUUGGGUUUAAAGGGUCCGUAGGCGGGCCGAUAAGUCAGUGGUGAAAUCUCAUAGCUUAACUAUGAAACUGCCAUUGAUACUGUCGGUCUUGAGUAAAUUAGAGGUAGCUGGAAUAAGUAGUGUAGCGGUGAAAUGCAUAGAUAUUACUUAGAACACCAAUUGCGAAGGCAGGUUACCAUGAUUUAACUGACGCUGAGGGACGAAAGCGUGGGGAGCGAACAGGAUUAGAUACCCUGGUAGUCCACGCCGUAAACGAUGCUAACUCGUUUUUGGGGCGCAAGCUUCAGAGACCAAGCGAAAGUGAUAAGUUAGCCACCUGGGGAGUACGUUCGCAAGAAUGAAACUCAAAGGAAUUGACGGGGGCCCGCACAAGCGGUGGAUUAUGUGGUUUAAUUCGAUGAUACGCGAGGAACCUUACCAAGGCUUAAAUGGGAAAUGACAGAUUUAGAAAUAGAUCCUUCUUCGGACAUUUUUCAAGGUGCUGCAUGGUUGUCGUCAGCUCGUGCCGUGAGGUGUUAGGUUAAGUCCUGCAACGAGCGCAACCCCUGUCACUAGUUGCUAACAUUAAGUUGAGGACUCUAGUGAGACUGCCUACGCAAGUAGAGAGGAAGGUGGGGAUGACGUCAAAUCAUCACGGCCCUUACGCCUUGGGCCACACACGUAAUACAAUGGCCGGUACAGAGGGCAGCUACACAGCGAUGUGAUGCGAAUCUCGAAAGCCGGUCUCAGUUCGGAUUGGAGUCUGCAACUCGACUCUAUGAAGCUGGAAUCGCUAGUAAUCGCGCAUCAGCCA
Molecule: ribosomal RNA, 1255 nt
Filed under: Chryseobacterium sp. ICM G37
Lineage: Bacteria; Pseudomonadati; Bacteroidota; Flavobacteriia; Flavobacteriales; Weeksellaceae
Description: bacterial SSU rRNA
Rfam family: Bacterial small subunit ribosomal RNA
Source: RNAcentral